UAGCAAAACACCCUUUCACCUGUGUCUGCU
This 30-nucleotide non-coding RNA is filed under the name Rattus norvegicus (Norway rat). The record is from RNAcentral. Lineage: Eukaryota; Metazoa; Chordata; Mammalia; Rodentia; Muridae.